Molecule: long non-coding RNA, 1190 nt
Organism: Acanthochromis polyacanthus (spiny chromis)
Lineage: Eukaryota; Metazoa; Chordata; Actinopteri; Pomacentridae
Exons: 4
Source: RefSeq, a predicted model, not a curated record
CAGGACCAUGAGAAAAAGACCUGAAUUCAAAUUUCUGAACAUAAAGUCAUUUGAAUGGACUGUCUUUUGGGAUGUUAUUUCCAUCUUUUGGAAAAUCUUUGAAACCAGCUGGAUAAAGUUUGUCAGUCAGCAUCCUCUAGAGCAGCUGGUUCAGCUGGAUCAGUUGGUUACUGAGCAGGGAAUCCUAUAAGCCACAAUAAUAGGAACAGACCUGUCAUCUCAGGUAGAAAGACUUAUUGAGCCCUGAUUUUUCUGCUUCGAUCUAAUAGGGACAUGGUUUCUGUCUGUAAUCAUUAGACAGACCUUGAAAUGUGGAGGUGGAAGAUUUCUUAUCAGCUGCGGUUUCCCAACAAUGCUGCUCCUGGAAGUGUAUAUAAGAAAAGCUCCACGUUCAGAGCAACACCACAACAACCUCCCUGAUCAUCUGUGAGACAGUCUGCUGAAGCUAAGACCUGACGGUGUGAUCACUGAAACCAUGCUGAAGGUAGCACUUGUUCUUGGAUGCCUCCUGAGCCUCGCUCUGGCCAAUCCUAUGGAUGGAGGACACAAACGAUUUGCCCGCUCAAGCGCUGGUUCUGAUUCUACUUCUGAUGAGGCUACCACUACAACUGCUACAACUACUGCUGCUGGUGCUACUACCACUUUGUCUCCAGCACAACUAACACAAAUCCUCCAGGCUCUUCUUGCCCUCUUACAAGGAUAAUAACCUUCAGUUAUGGAGCACUUUUCAAAUUCCAAGUUCAUUAAAGUGCUUCACAAGACUAAAGAAAUUAAACAGAGAAAUCAAAAAAUUGUCAGAUUGAAAAAAAAAAAACAACACAAUUCGAUGGAUGAAAAUCAGUGUUGGAAAAAGUAAAUAAAAAACUUUUGAGAGAAAUCAAAGACAGUUCAAAGGAAACUACAUCUCCCGUAAAAUCAGGAAAGUAUGCUUUAAGAAGUAAACAGCAAGAUCUUAAAAUGUGUCCUGAAACACACCUCCUGUUUCCUACUGCUGCUACAACUACUACAGCAGCAACGACUACAACAGCUGCUCCAUUCUAAUAUCUGAAAUGUAACCAGGAACCAAGAAGUGAAUGAAAACCAGUUUGAAGUGGAUUUUCAAUGUCAGCUCUGUUUCCUGUUGGUUUGAAAUGUUUCUUGAGAAUUUGUUCAAAUUUUCUGCUCUCAAGUUUAAAUCAUGUUUUUCACCU